CCAAAGCGAGAACAAAGGAAGAAAAAGGAAGAACAAGAACGCUAGGGUGAAAAUUCAAGAGAAAAUUGGUGGAUUUCAAGUAAUCAAGCAAUCAAAGGUAAAAUUUCUUGAUUUUGACUUGUUAUCUACCUUUCCCAUGCAUUAUUUUGCAUUUUCCAUGGUUGAAUCACAAGAUAUCAUGAAGGAUAGUGUGCUGAUCAAACCCCAGGAGAGAGGUUUUGACGCUUCAUUUAGUUAGAUUUCAAUGUAUUUUAGUGUUUUUAGUUGAUUGGUGAUGUGUAGCAUGAAAAUCAAGCAAGAAAAAUUCAUGUUCUCCCAUCACCCAUCAUUGGCCGAAUUCUCCAUGUGGAAUAUUGAGGAUGAUUUUGAUUUUAUUUCAAGUGAUUUGGUUAGGAAUUAGUGAUUUAUGGUGUGAGAAUCAAGUAGGAAAAAUUAUAGUGUUGAUGCACCCACCAUGGCCGAAUUUUCCAAGAGAAAAUGUGAAAAUGAUUUUGCUAGAUUUUAUGCUAUUUGACUUGUGUUUGAUGAUUUGGAGUAUUGGGAGAAAAAUGGAAUUUAUUUGGAGUUGAAUUGGACGUAUUGGUCAAUUAAUCGAGUGAUAGAUCGAAUUAGGCCAAUACCGUUUAAUUUAGGUACACAAUUGAAUUUGUGUAGAACACCGUAUUUAGACAAUAAUCUGAACAAUUUGCAUCCCAUUUCAUACAUUAGUAUAAAACCUAAAUUGGUUUUAUAACAAUUUAGCACAAUGUAGUAAAUGGCUUAUUGUGCAUUAUGUCUAGGUGGUGAGCAUUUUGGCAAAAGUAAAGAGAUAGUACUCGAGGAUCAGGAAUCAGAGUACUUGGAAUUUGACUCCCCGAAAUAGUGAGUAACCUUACUAUCGUUUUAAUUAUCUAAAGUGGUUUUUAUCCGAUUUUGUGAUUUUAUGGGAAAUGAGUUUAAAUGGUAAAUCUUUAUGUUUUAUAAACAAAAUGUGUUUAAAUGAAAUGAUUUUAUAAAUUGUCUUGAAAUUGAAUGAUGGCUUUGAAAAUAGAGUAAUUGGAGACCACUUGAUGUGUUGUAAUUUAUGAUUCUAAUUGAUGGCUUAUGAUAAUGUGUUAGCAUGACUGGCUGGAAUUGUGAUUUGUGAACUGUAUGAAUUGUUCUGUUUUACAUUUACAGGCUGGGUUGUCACGACCCGGAACUCCCCAUCGGGCCCGUGACAACCGCCGCGAGGCCUCGACAGACAUUCUUCACCCCGAAUGCCGAUCAAAACCCCGCAAGGCUUAGCAUCAACUUCCGCAUCUCCCCGAUGAGCAACAAUUAUUAAAUCUUGCAUUUAAAAAAAAUCAUAAGUAAUUUUCAAAUAAGAACAAUAGAAUAUUAUUUUCUGGCUCAUAGGGGCAUUUUCGUAAUUUUUCUUCAAAAAUCUCAAAACUUGCUAAAAAUGUAGUAGGUAAGCAGAAAAUAUAUAUUUAAUGAUUUUAAAACAAAUUAAGUAUCUAAAACGUUCAUUUGAAAGCAAAUUGUUA
Molecule: long non-coding RNA, 1508 nt
Filed under: Theobroma cacao (cacao)
Lineage: Eukaryota; Viridiplantae; Streptophyta; Magnoliopsida; Malvales; Malvaceae
Description: long non-coding RNA (TCAC_LNC001744)
Source: RNAcentral